CAAUAGCGUAUAUUAAAGUUGUUGCAGUUAAAAGCUCGUAGUUGGAUUUCUGGCAGGAGUGACCGGCCGCACACACUGUGUGCGAGUUGCGUCAUUCUGGCCAUCCUUGGUGAGAUCCUGUUUGGCAUUAAGUUGUCGGGCAGGGGAUAACCAUCGUUUACUGUGAAAAAUUAAGAGUGUUUAAAGACAGGCUUAUGCCGUUGAAUAUAUUAGCAUGGAAUAAUAAGAUAGGACUUUGUAGUCUAUUUUGUUUGGUUUGUCGAGUCAAAGUAAAUGAUUAAUAGGGACAGUUGGGGGUAGUUCGUAUUUCUAUUGUCAGAGGUGAAAUUACUUGG
RNAcentral lists this ribosomal RNA (335 nucleotides) under uncultured eukaryote. RNAcentral describes it as "SSU rRNA". It matches the Rfam family "Eukaryotic small subunit ribosomal RNA", at positions 592 to 923 of the family's 1831-position model. The record is from RNAcentral.